This 467-nucleotide ribosomal RNA is filed under the name uncultured bacterium. RNAcentral's name for it is "bacterial SSU rRNA". It matches the Rfam family "Bacterial small subunit ribosomal RNA", at positions 33 to 507 of the family's 1533-position model. The record is from RNAcentral.
UACGAGGACGACGCUGGCGGCGUGCUUAACACAUGCAAGUCGAACGGUAAGGCCCUUCGGGGUACACGAGUGGCGAACGGGUGAGUAACACGUGGGUGAUCUGCCCUGCACUUCGGGAUAAGCUUGGGAAACUGGGUCUAAUACCGGAUAGGACCACGGUCUGCAUGGAUUGUGGUGGAAAGCUUUUGCGGUGUGGGAUGGGCCCGCGGCCUAUCAGCUUGUUGGUGGGGUGAUGGCCUACCAAGGCGACGACGGGUAGCCGGCCUGAGAGGGUGUCCGGCCACACUGGGACUGAGAUACGGCCCAGACUCCUACGGGAGGCAGCAGUGGGGAAUAUUGCACAAUGGGCGCAAGCCUGAUGCAGCGACGCCGCGUGGGGGAUGACGGCCUUCGGGUUGUAAACCUCUUUCAGCAGGGACGAAGGGUGACUGACGGUACCUGUAGAAGAAGCACCGGCCAACUACGUG